Long non-coding RNA from Salvia miltiorrhiza (redroot sage), 1381 nucleotides. RefSeq lists it as uncharacterized. The record is from RefSeq and is a predicted model, not a curated record. Lineage: Eukaryota; Viridiplantae; Streptophyta; Magnoliopsida; Lamiales; Lamiaceae. The transcript is spliced from 3 exons.
AGAGGCCGGCGGCGUCCCGUCAUCGCCAAGGAGGAAGGCGAUGGUGGUAGUGGUUGGGUUUCAGCGGAGGGCUGAACGGAGGGUUGAGCGGAGGACGACGGGGCCGUGAGCGGCGCAAGGAGCGUCUGCGUGUGCGGGUUCUGUUUGAGUGAGAAGAAGGGUGACGGCCGGUGGCCUUGCUGCCGUCGUCCGCCGGAAGAGAUUCGGGGAAGAAGGGGGCGAGCUUGGCGUGAAGAGGAAGAGAGUGAGAUAUGUUAUGCGUGUGUGUGUGACCGAGAGAGAGAGUAGGGAAGAAAAGGGGGUGGGAUGUUGGGCUUUAGGUUUGGGCUUUGAAGUGUUGGGCCUUUGUUUUAAAUUUUGAUUUGGGCCGAUUUUAAUUGAGGGUGGACUUGCGAAUUGGGCUCAAUUUAUUUAAUUAGUUAUGGGCCGAUUUUUAUAAGUACUUGGGCCGAGAUUUUUAAUUAAAUGGGCUGGGUUAUUUCUUAAUUUUGGGCCGAUUUUCUAUAUUAAGCUGGGCCUUUGAUUAUUUUAAAAUCAUGGGCUGCCCAAGUAUUUAUUUAAUUGGAUUUGUACAGAUUUUAUUUAAAGGAGCUACACUAUUAUAAUUAAUUAGACUUAUUAAGUUUAAUUAAUUAUUUUCAAAGAGUAAAUUUUUAUAAUAAUAUUAAAUUAUUAUUAUAAGCAUAUUUUAAGUAAAUUACUUAUUAUAUGCUAAGCAUGACAAGAUUUGCAUUAUAUUUUGCAAUAAGAAUAUUUAUGAUUUAAUUGGUUUUAUUUAUAAUUCCAAUUAUUAAAAGAUGAGUAAGAAUAUUGUUGGUGUUCUUAACUCAAGAGAAAAUGUUUUCAAUUAUUUAUUCAUUAAAUUUUGAAAACCCGGCUAAGUGAAUCAUAGAAUAUUAAGCACUACACCAUGACUUAAGAUUAGAAUUCAAGGAGACCUAUUGAGAAUAGAUUUCUUGUAGGCUUUGAGCAACAGGAGGAUUAGCAUUGCUAUUCCGAUUCAGAGAUAAGGAUAAACGACAGGCUUUGCCUAAUCAGGCUUUGAGCAACAGGAGGAUUAGCAUUGCUAUUCCGAUUCAGAGAUAAGGAUAAACGACAGGCUUUGCCUAAUCAGGUUGAGCAGUUGAUGGAAUGGAAUGAUGUUGAGCGGGUGUUCCUUUGACAUUUCGAGAAAUGUAACCUUGAGUAUACAUCUUCAUAUGUAUAUCUCACACGUUUUCCGCUGCAAAACACUUUGAUUAAGAUAGCUCUAUGAUAUGAAGUUGUGAUACGUGUUAUUGGGUAACCACCUUAAUCAGUUCUCAAUUAUGUGUAUCCAAAUAAUCAUAUAUGAUCCUAGCAUUUUAUCUAUGAGUGACAUUUCCAUAUACUUUAAUGUUAA